CAGUGACAACACUGCGGAAGUGUCAUGGCGCCGUGCGUCAUGCAUUGUCAGAAGCAACACUAGCACCAAGCAACUCUUAUUGCUUCUUCUCCUAAAGUGUGGACUUGAACCCUUGAACAUAUAAAAAGGACAUUGGAGGAACCAUAGUUUUAGGAUGGCUGAGUCAGGCUCAGGUAACCCCAGUGGUCAACGUGUGCCAGCGACCCCCGCAGGGAGCGCCACGGGACUCCUGAUGGGCCGCCGCACCCCCGCCGCCCUCUCUGCUGGCCGCCUCCCCUCAAUGCGCUCCAGAGACCUCACCCUGGGGGGAGUGAAGAAGAAAACCUUUACACCCAACAUUAUUGGCCGGAAAGCAAAAGAAGA
Notothenia coriiceps (black rockcod) is the source of this 363-nucleotide long non-coding RNA. RefSeq lists it as uncharacterized. The transcript is spliced from 3 exons. The record is from RefSeq and is a predicted model, not a curated record. NCBI's taxonomy places the organism in Eukaryota, Metazoa, Chordata, Actinopteri, Perciformes, Nototheniidae.